Molecule: long non-coding RNA, 2456 nt
Filed under: Mus musculus (house mouse)
Lineage: Eukaryota; Metazoa; Chordata; Mammalia; Rodentia; Muridae
Description: long non-coding RNA chr2:26181263-26183719
Source: RNAcentral
AACUUACAUAGUCUUUUGUUUCUUCUUUUUUUUUUAAAAGAUUUAUUUUAUUUAUUAUAUGUAAGUACACUGUAGCUGUCUUUAGACACUCCAGAAGAGGGAGUCAGAUCUCGUUACGGAUGGUUGUGAGCCACCAUGUGGUUGCUGAGAUUUGAACUCUGGACCUUCGGAAGAGCAGUCGGGUGCUCUUACCCACUGAGCCAUCUCACCAGCCCUGUUUCUUCUUAUAUACAUAAAUACAUGCAUACAUACAUACAUAUAUGUGUAUGUAUAUAUACAUAUAUACCCAUAUUAUGUAUAUAAAUAUGCAUAUGUACAUAUAUAUGUGUGUAAAUAUAUAUUUAUAUGAUUUAUUAUAUAUUACAUACUGAAUAUUUUUAUAUACAUAGUAUAUAUACACAUAUAUACACAUAUAUAUAUGAAGUAGUAAGAAAUAUACAGGGAACACAAGAGCCACAUAUAUGCAUACAUAUAUAAUGCAUAUAUAUUAUACAUCAUACUAGGGUAUCUUUUGAAAAUUUAUUUAUUUAUGUGUAUGGUGCUUUCCUUGCAUGCAUGUAUAAAUACUGCAUGCAUGCCUUGUGCCUGCUGAGUCCAGGAAGGGUGUCAGAUCCUCUGGGACUGGAUCGACAAUGCUAAGCUCUCAUGUGCAUGCUGGGAACUGAACUUGGGUCCAUCCCUCCAGUUCUGUUGCAUGGUCACUGUCACUGUCACUGUCACUCUCCAGCUUCACUGAGGGCAGCUUCUGCUGGAGCCUCAGGAGUGGGGGGAAGGGGGGAGCACCGCUGUGGGCUGAAGGAGACGCAGGUGUUUUAUUUCCUUCAGUAGGUAGUGGCAGCAAUGCACUGGAAUAUGGAGGAGUUAUCAAAACCCAGACAUUUCCGGGAAAAGUAGAUUUCCUAGGGUGUGUACAGAGUCCUGGAGAAGUCUUUGGGGAGAAUUUCAAGAGGAGCCUCCCUACUCUGCUGACAUACCUACCCCUAGCUAAGAGCUCACCAACACUGUCCCUGCAGCAGGCCUAUUGGAUGGAGAGGGAAAAUAAGUAAGGGAACAUGUCUGAGCCCAGGGGUCAAGCCAGUGGUGUCGGGGGAAUAGAGAGUAUGCCCUAGAGGUGAAACUGAAUAGGGCAGGGGCAGCCUUUGCUGCAGCUUGCCACAGCUGCAGCCUUGACAGCAUCGGCAUGGUGCCUGAUGAGGGAGAUUCCAAAGUGUCCCAUGCAGGGGCUAAGGCCUUGCAUAGCAGGAAAAGGCCAAUGGAUUUAGUUUAGCAUCAUGGCCAGAGUAUUGAGAGGCUCACAGGCCUGUGUGUACCCUGCCCUCCCUGCUGGGCCGCCCGGGUCCUGGGACAGCACAGUAACCUCUGUGGGUGAUGGAUCGCAGUGUCUGCCCUGGUGCAGCAGACGUGGGGCUGCACUUGGCCUCAAUCGCUCCCUAGGGACCACCCCCAAUCGAUGGCAUUCUGUGCUCAGCCCCAGCAGCCUGUGAUAAAUGGUCUAGAAUUGAUUUCUACUUAAUUGACAAUUUGGUGAACCUGUUUGCAGAAUCCCAGGUUGUACAGGAAGGGGAAUGUCCCUGGCCAGGGUGACAGCCAGGGGGCAGCAGAGGCUAUCCAGUGAUGAUGUCAAGGGACUCACAUUGUGUCAAGCUUGAGACCCCUCUGGAAGCCCGGCAGUGUCACCACCCAGAUCUGGGACACCCCCUAGGGAAGUGGAUCCUGGAUACGACUGCACUUAAGAAGGUGAGGCGGGCAAACACUCAGCUCUGUCACCAGGACACUGGUUUCCUUCUGAGCAGGUCUCAUUACAAAGCCUGCCUGUCCUUUGCUCAGCUGAGGCAGCCCCUGGUGCUAACUCCAUCUGCCACCCAGCAGUGGGCCUCACACUCCGUUUUCCCCAUGGUGGCUGAAGGAUGUGGCUAACCAGACUAGGUUACUCUCUUUUAGGAAAAAGCUUUCUUCUCCCGCACCUCCUCUGAGUAUUACCAGUCUGAGUCACCAUCCCCUUCUUCCCCACCAUAGUCUCUUGCCAGCCUUAGCACGUGUACUUCCUGGCUGAAACAGACUCUCUGAGCAGACCUGCACACGGGGUAGCCCUAUCCUUCUAGUUUCUAGGGAGGGUAAGGCAGGAGGAUUGCUCGAGCUCAAGAGUUUGAAGGUCGCUUGGUUGGCACAUCAAGUGACUUUUAAAAAGGUUUAUUUACUUUUAUGUGCAUUGAUGGUUUGCCUACAUGUAUGCCUUUCUGUCUGUGUGAGGGUCCCAGAUCCUAUGGAACUGGAUUUCAGACAGUGUGAGCUGCCAUGUAGGUGAUGAGAACCAAUCUCUGAGCCAGCUCUCCAGCUCCAAGUGCCUGACUCAUAAGAAAUCAAGUGUGGCAAUGCAAGCCUAUAAUCCCAACACUUGGUAGGUAGAGACAGGAGCUCAAGGCCAGCCUGGACUACAUGAGACCCUUUCUAAAAGG